RNAcentral lists this ribosomal RNA (761 nucleotides) under uncultured Granulicatella sp. RNAcentral's name for it is "bacterial SSU rRNA". It matches the Rfam family "Bacterial small subunit ribosomal RNA", at positions 28 to 776 of the family's 1533-position model. The record is from RNAcentral. Lineage: Bacteria; Bacillati; Bacillota; Bacilli; Lactobacillales; Carnobacteriaceae.
GACGAACGCUGGCGGCGUGCCUAAUACAUGCAAGUCGAACGAGAGCGACCGGUGCUUGCACUGGUCAAUCUAGUGGCGAACGGGUGAGUAACACGUGGGUAACCUGCCCAUCAGAGGGGGAUAACAUUCGGAAACGGAUGCUAAAACCGCAUAGGUCUUCGAACCGCAUGGUUUGAAGAGGAAAAGAGGCGCAAGCUUCUGCUGAUGGAUGGACCCGCGGUGCAUUAGCUAGUUGGUGAGGUAACGGCUCACCAAGGCCGUGAUGCAUAGCCGACCUGAGAGGGUGAUCGGGCACAUUGGGACUGAGACACGGCCCAUACUCCUACGGGAGGCAGUCUUAGGGAAUCUUCCGCUUGGACGCAAGUCUGACGGAGCAACUCCGCGUGAGUGAAGAAGGUUUACUGAUCGCAAAACUCUGUUAUUAGAGAAUAACAAGUGCUAGAGUAACUGUUAGCGCCUUGACGGUAUCUAACCAGAAAGCCACGGCUAACUACGUGCCAGCAGCCGCGGUAAUACGUAGGUGGCAAGCGUUGUCCGGAUUUAUUGGGCGUAAAGCGAGCGCAGGCGGUUCCUUAAGUCUGAUGUGAAAGCCUCCGGCUCAACCGGGGAGGGUCAUUGGAAACUGGGGAACUUGAGUGCAGAAGAGGAGAGUGGCAUCCAUGUGUAGCGGUGAAUGUGUAGAUAUAUGGAGGAACAGCCUAUGGCGAAGCAACUCUCUGGUCUGUUGUGACUCCUACGCUCAAAACUAGGCACGCAACAGC